UCAUACGGCCAUGCCACCCUGAACAAGCCCGAUCCUGUCUGAUCUCGGAAGCUAAGCCACAUCGGGCCUGGUUAGUACUUGGAUGGGAGACCACCUAGGAAGACCAGGUGCUGUAGGCA
Molecule: ribosomal RNA, 119 nt
Filed under: Pteropus alecto (black flying fox)
Lineage: Eukaryota; Metazoa; Chordata; Mammalia; Chiroptera; Pteropodidae
Source: RNAcentral